Long non-coding RNA from Mauremys reevesii (Reeves's turtle), 187 nucleotides. RefSeq lists it as uncharacterized. The record is from RefSeq and is a predicted model, not a curated record. NCBI's taxonomy places the organism in Eukaryota, Metazoa, Chordata, Testudines, Geoemydidae. The transcript has 3 exons.
CGGUUUUGUGUGUCUCAGGACUCGCACCUGACCUCUGUCUCCUCCCAGGCAGAACAGGAGUUUCUCUCCAAUGAGACCAAGGGACAAGAUCACUGGAUUGGACUCACCGACUGGGAGACAGAAGGCAGCUGGCGCUGGGUGGAUGGCACAGAAUACAGAGCAGACGCAAGCAGGGAGUUCUGGGAGG